AAAAAUAAUUCUUAUUCCUGUUAUAUUUAUAGUUCAAAAAAUAAAAGCUUUAAUAAAUUCAAACCCCGCCCAUACGUCACAUUCUGUUCACGUGCCAAUCGGAAAGCACGCUGCCAGAACGACGUGGCAAACCCGGAAGUGAAUUAUAGCAAACACGGACAUGGCGGACAGGGGCGAAGGACUGAUCGCAACCGAGACGUACGGCUCCCAGGAGGCCUGGUCAUACAGGAUACAGGAUGGAGGGAUGCGGAGAGAGAGAAGGGGAAAUGAACGAGCUGUUAGGGGGAAAUCAGUCACUGAUGCGUUCAAGAAUGUUUUCCUUCCUCAGGGUUACCCUGAGAGCGUCAGCGAGGAUUAUCUACAGUAUCAGAUAUGGGAUACGUUGCAGGCUUUCUGCAGUCUCUCUCGGGCACGCUCGCCACUCAGGCCUCGCUGAAAGGAGUCGGAGUCGGAAAUCAACAAGCAACGGUUGCUGCAGCCACAUUGACUUGGUUACUUAGAGAUGGCACAGGGAUGUUAGGGAGAAUUCUCUUCGCAUGGUUUAAAGGGAGCAAACUGGACUCAGAAGCCAAAAAGUGGAGGUGAGGACCGCUGGGAAUUUGGAGCGUUACGGUUUUCCUUCGUAUCUGUUCGAGAGGUUUCCAG
Molecule: long non-coding RNA, 645 nt
Organism: Tachysurus fulvidraco (yellow catfish)
Lineage: Eukaryota; Metazoa; Chordata; Actinopteri; Siluriformes; Bagridae
Exons: 6
Source: RefSeq, a predicted model, not a curated record